UCUGUGACUCAGGGCAUUACUGUCCAAGACUGUGAUGGGACAAGUUGAGAUCUCACUGUCGUGUCUGUACCCGUCGAACAUCAUUGUAAAUCUGUCCUGCUACAUCCUUCCCCCUGUUUGAAGGCCUAGAGAAGAUACCUCUCUGGUUCACUAACUUCCUUCCAUCCUCACCGGGUCUGACCAAUAUCGACGGACCUCUCCCCUCUCCUACAGCUACACACAGAUUCGCCCAAGCUUUUUAGCUGUCAACCAAACAGCUGGUUGUUGGGAGGCAGAAAGUGGAUUGCAGUGGUUCAAGAAGGCAACUCAUCACCACCUUUUCAAGGGCAACUAGGGACAGACCAGCAUUGGCCGUUAGGAGCAAAAACAUGACCCGUCCUUUCUUCAGUUGCAUCCGACAGCCAAGCCGUUCACCCAGGAAGGUUUCUGAGCUCCAGGAUACGGUUCAGCUGGAAUAUUCAGGGAGAACGUGCAAAUUCCCAAGGCGGGAAUUGAACCCUGGUCGCUGGCACUGCGACGCAACAGUGGUGUUGGGAAAAGAUAAACUGAUGCAUGCCUAGUUUCGACUGUGCAUUUACAUUGUACCGUAAGACAGGUAAGAUCAGAACGAUUGUAAUUUUCGGCAGGACUGGGGAAAACCCUAUGUUUGGUUUUAAAUUUACCCGUCCUUUCGAAAGAGAUGACUUAGAGCUCCUCAUGGUGACAACUCAGUUAUAUUGCCUGAAACAGCUGUUUCUCAGAAGCACAACACGCAUUCAUUACUGGGAGUAGUAGCAGUCAGAGGUGACUGUGAAAAGAACGAAAAUUUAUUGGUCAAUAAAAUGCAUGUCAUCCCAGGGUCCAAGUAACCAAGUUAAGAGACAAAACAGAAGUUGCUGGAAAAGCUCAGCAGGUCUGGUGGCAUCUGUGAAGAGAAAAUCAGAGUUAAUGUUUCAGAUCCGGUGACCCUUCCUCUGAAGUUCUGAAAAAGUGGUGGAGGCUGGUACAAUUACAACAUUUAAAAGGCAUCAGGAUGGGUUCAUGAAUGGGAAGGGUUUAGAGGGAUGUGGGUCAAAUGCUGGGAAAUGGGACUAGGUUAAUUAAGGAUAUCUGAUUGGCAUGGAUGAGUUGGAUGAAGGGAUCUGUUCCUGUGCUGUGCAACUCCGUGAUUGUAACACCACUUGGAAAAAUAAAAUUCCAGCUACUGGAAAUCUGAAACAAAACAAGACUCAAGUGUUUAACGUUACCACAACCAUUUCUUUUAUUGGUGGGACCGGUGCGCUGUAUAACCAUAGAACAUGGUCCUCUUUUAUGGUUUGAACUCA
Molecule: long non-coding RNA, 1304 nt
Organism: Rhincodon typus (whale shark)
Lineage: Eukaryota; Metazoa; Chordata; Chondrichthyes; Orectolobiformes; Rhincodontidae
Exons: 3
Source: RefSeq, a predicted model, not a curated record